This 475-nucleotide ribosomal RNA is filed under the name uncultured bacterium. Its description in RNAcentral is "SSU rRNA". It matches the Rfam family "Bacterial small subunit ribosomal RNA", at positions 26 to 521 of the family's 1533-position model. The record is from RNAcentral.
AGGAUAAACGCUGGCGGCGUGCAUGAGACAUGCAAGUCGAACGGACGAUCAGGGCUUGCUCUGAUCGUUAGUGGCGGACGGCUGAGUAACGCGUAGGUGACCUGCCCCGAAGUGGGGAAUAACUGCCCGAAAGGGUGGCUAAUACCGCAUGUGGUGGUGUGUUCAUUCACACCAGUAAAGCCGCAAGGCGCUUCGGGAGGGGCCUGCGUCCGAUUAGCUCGUUGGUGGGGUAACGGCUCACCAAGGCGACGAUCGGUAGGUGGUCUGAGAGGACGAUCACCCAGACUGGGACUGAGACACGGCCCAGACUCCUACGGGAGGCAGCAGUCGGGAAUUUUGCGCAAUGGACGAAAGUCUGACGCAGCAACGCCGCGUGAGGGAUGAAGGCCUUCGGGUUGUAAACCUCUUUAUCAGGGAAGAUAAUGACGGUACCUGAUGAAUAAGUCACGGCUAACUACGCGCCAGCAGCCGCGGU